Molecule: ribosomal RNA, 468 nt
Filed under: uncultured bacterium
Lineage: Bacteria
Description: partial 16S ribosomal RNA
Rfam family: Bacterial small subunit ribosomal RNA
Source: RNAcentral
GACGAACGCUGGCGGCGUGCUUAACACAUGCAAGUCGAACGGAAAGGCCCUGCUUUUGUGGGGUGCUCGAGUGGCGAACGGGUGAGUAACACGUGAGUAACCUGCCCUUGACUUUGGGAUAACUUCAGGAAACUGGGGCUAAUACCGGAUAGGAGCUCCUGCUGCAUGGUGGGGGUUGGAAAGUUUCGGCGGUUGGGGAUGGACUCGCGGCUUAUCAGCUUGUUGGUGGGGUAGUGGCUUACCAAGGCUUUGACGGGUAGCCGGCCUGAGAGGGUGACCGGCCACAUUGGGACUGAGAUACGGCGCAGACGCCAACGGGAGGCAGCAGGGGGGAAUAUUGCACAAUGGGCGGAAGCCUGAUGCAGCAGCGCCGCGUGCGGGAUGACGGCCUUCGGGUGGGAAACCGCUUUCGCCUGUGACGAAGCGGGAGUGACGGUAAUGGGUAAAGAAGCACCGGCUAACUACGUG